CGAGUGAAUUUCACAUUUUCACUUAACUUAAGAACCCGGGAAAUAACCUACCGCAUAUGCAAUAUAAUAUUAUAACACAUACGAUGUAUACGAUAUUCAUGUGUAUGUAGGUAUUAUAUUAUGCGAACGCACACGGAAUCUCAACGUUUAAUCAUAAUAAACGCGCCUUUACCUGGAGGGUCGUCGCAUAUCGUAGUACCGACUCCUGCGGUUCUGUAUUAUAGUCUCGUGACCGUAAAAUUUAACUAUCUC
Cinara cedri is the source of this 252-nucleotide non-coding RNA. Lineage: Eukaryota; Metazoa; Arthropoda; Insecta; Hemiptera; Aphididae. The record is from the annotation of a GenBank genome assembly.